Molecule: long non-coding RNA, 408 nt
Filed under: Serinus canaria (Common canary)
Lineage: Eukaryota; Metazoa; Chordata; Aves; Passeriformes; Fringillidae
Description: lncRNA (ENSSCAG00000009436.1)
Source: RNAcentral
UAAAGAGAGGCUGUAAUUCCACUGGGCAGCCAGAUGUUUUGUGUCUGUGCUGAACUGGGGAGACAGUGUGGCUUUAGGGGUUGAAGGGUGUGCUGUUCUUGUCACAGGGCUGUUUGGAGACCUUCAACAUAUCUGAUCUGCUUUCUCUCCUCUCCCUUCCACUCCCUCCUGCCAUGCCUGCACUGAUGGUGAUUACUUCCUUCAGAGUAAAAUGGGAUUAUUGAGAGCAGUGUAAUUUCUUGCUUUCUUAAAGGAACUGCCCUCAUCAGCAGAGUGAACACUGAUGCCUGGAGUAGCAGAUUGUGCAUAAGCAGACAUCUCUGUCUUUAUCUGCAGCUGCUGCAGGAAGUCAGCUGCAUGUCUUUGGUGCAGCUGCAAGAAUGACUUGACUGAUUUGCAUUCAUGGCU